Ziziphus jujuba (common jujube) is the source of this 1257-nucleotide long non-coding RNA. RefSeq lists it as uncharacterized. Lineage: Eukaryota; Viridiplantae; Streptophyta; Magnoliopsida; Rosales; Rhamnaceae. The record is from RefSeq and is a predicted model, not a curated record. The transcript is spliced from 2 exons.
CAUAUGAAAGACUAAGGAAAAAUUGCGUUUGAGGUAAGGAUCUGUGUAUUUUGAUUGUUUUUUUUUUUUUGUAGCUUGGGUUUUUGCUUGAUUGGUGAAAGGUGAAGACGAUGAUUGGAAUGGAGGAAACUAGUCGAAAUCAAGUAGUAGUAGUAGUAGUAGUAGGUUAUACAAUUUAGUGGUGUAAUUAAAUAUUAUGAGUAUGCUUUAGGGUCGGUUUCUAUAUUGCUUUAAGGUCAGAAACACUUCACAAGUGUUUGUUGAAUUUUCUGAUUGCAACAGAAUAUUAAAAGAAAUUGAAAGAUAAGAAAACCUAAAAAAACAAAAUUGAAGAAUAAGUAGAAAGCAAUUAUGGUUAAAAUCUGCUUCAAAUGUUGAAUCAUUUGUUUUCUUGUUUAUAUAACACUCACCAUCCUGCUAGAUAUCAUAAUUUAAUUACAUAACUUUAUUUUGAUUUUAUGUUGGUUUCUUGUUUAUGGUUAUGAAGGUGAGUGGUAGUUUUGCAGAGGAGCUUCACUUGGAAAGUUUGCAGCAUCAAAUAGAAAAUGAUCUUAUGCCAAGUGCCCGAUGUGACCAAAGUGAUUCUUAUGGUAUCCUUUUAGUUAUAUGUUCUAUGGCGAAUUAUAUAAGCUAACUUCUUCUUUUUUUGUUUACAAUUAGUUAAUAUUUAAAAAAGAUGUUAUACCUGCUAUAUGGACCAUGAGGUAUACUAUCUAUGUUGUUUAGUUUGCCUUAAUUUCUUUCUGUUUAGUUUUCAGCCAAGGUUGGAAUUUCUUAGGCUUGGCUGGUGGAACAUUAUUAAUUUUCAAGUUGAUUACAAAUAUGCAGUUGGGGAUAGGAUAGUGGCAAAGGAUUGGAAUGAGCUAGGGGUGACAAACUGUGGAAAUGAGACAAAACUCCUAAGUGGAUUAGUUAUCGAGGUGGAUUGCCCAAGGCAUUAUAUGUGGUGAAAGAUGUAUUAACUGGAAUGAGAAAACAUGUUCAUCUGUUGGACAUAACAACUUUAUCACAACUUAGAAAAGAUGCACAUCCUGGCUUUUAUAAUGGCUUUAGGCACAUGGACUGUAACCAUUGGUGUAUUGCUGGACUUCUAGAUACUUGGAAUCAACUUUUUAUGCAUUCCUCAUAAUUGUCAUGCUUGUUCUGGUAUUUUUAGUUUAUAAAAAUUAUCAUACGGUUACUUAGGUCCUUCCUUCCAUAGAUCACCAUUUUUAAGGGAAUCAAGUAUCAAAACACGACCGAUCUUUUCAUUUUCAA